Molecule: non-coding RNA, 76 nt
Filed under: Actinoplanes sp. SE50/110
Lineage: Bacteria; Bacillati; Actinomycetota; Actinomycetes; Micromonosporales; Micromonosporaceae
Source: RNAcentral
AGCCACGUCCUUUCGAGGCUGUUGGUGGAGGUCGGCAGAACCCGCUUGCUUGCAGGCUGUGGGGGUUCUGUCGACC